AUUGAACGCUGGCGGCAGGCCUAACACAUGCAAGUCGAAUGGUAACAGGAAACAGCUUGCUGUUUCGCUGACGAGUGGCGGACGGGUGAGUAAUGUCUGGCAAACUGCCUGAUGGAGGGGGAUAACUACUGGAAACGGUAGCUAAUACCGCAUAACGUCGCAAGACCAAAGAGGGGGACCUUCGGGCCUCUUGCCAUCAGAUGUGCCCAGAUGGGAUUAGCUAGUAGGUGGGGUAACGGCUCACCUAGGCGACGAUCCCUAGCUGGUCUGAGAGGAUGACCAGCCACACUGGAACUGAGACACGGUCCAGACUCCUACGGGAGGCAGCAGUGGGGAAUAUUGCACAAUGGGCGCAAGCCUGAUGCAGCCAUGCCGCGUGUAUGAAGAAGGCCUUCGGGUUGUAAAGUACUUUCAGCGGGGAGGAAGGGAGUAAAGUUAAUACCUUUGCUCAUUGACGUUACCCGCAGAAGAAGCACCGGCUAACUCCGUG
This 490-nucleotide ribosomal RNA is filed under the name uncultured bacterium. Its description in RNAcentral is "partial 16S ribosomal RNA". It matches the Rfam family "Bacterial small subunit ribosomal RNA", at positions 30 to 507 of the family's 1533-position model. The record is from RNAcentral.